GUUCCUUUCCAAACACGGCCAGUCACCAACUGGAAAGGACGAGUGGAUAUCUCCUGACCUGAUGCUGCAACACCAACAAUAACCGAGGUCCCCCAGCCCUUGUGACAACAUUCCAAAGCAGACCUCAUCACAGAAACAUUGCCAAUACACUCAAAACUGUAGUCAACACCACCAUCUGUGAGAUCAAUGAUGACUUGCUGGAUUGGUUUAUCAUGGUCCUUUGGAUUCACAAAUUCAGUUACUCCGAAAUUCUUUGCUGUAUCAAACUUCUUGCUGUCAAUAUCUAUUCCAAUUAUUCGUGAAGCACCAGCUGCUUUUGCUCCCUCAGCAACUGCAAGACCAACCGUUCCAAGGCCAAAGAUAGCAACAAUAGACCCAGCUUCUACUUUUGCAGCGUUCCAAACUGCCCC
Molecule: unclassified non-coding RNA, 410 nt
Filed under: Hevea brasiliensis (rubber tree)
Lineage: Eukaryota; Viridiplantae; Streptophyta; Magnoliopsida; Malpighiales; Euphorbiaceae
Source: RNAcentral